ACAUUCUCUGCAAAAUAAGCUUAUUUUAUCCAUGUGAUUCUGAGCUGAGCAAUUCUAAGAAGUGUGAGGAUGACAACGUGCACCUGAAAAUUUAAAUACAAACAGGCAAAAUGGGAUCCACUUGAAGGUGGCAUUCACUGCAGCUUUGCACACCUAAAUACAAGUUUUUACUGACACGGCAGUGGAAGGUGACACAUCUAUCAAGCAUAUACUCGAGCAAGACCCAGCCUUCUGUUGUCUGGAGGAAAAUCAGCUCUGGAGAAAUGGAAUUAAGGUUCAAGGAUGUUCAUUGAUUAUUAAAAGAAAACAAAUGGAGUUAAAUUCUACUACCCUCCAACCUGCAUGAAGAAACACUGUUGAUGAAGAGCUUUUAUUAAAGAGAUUCAAGUACCAUAAUGGUAAAAAGAUUCCUACGUGAUCUUAAGGCAUACAGGAACUGCAAAUUCUCUCAUUUGCAAUGUAUAUAG
Molecule: long non-coding RNA, 467 nt
Organism: Grus americana (Whooping crane)
Lineage: Eukaryota; Metazoa; Chordata; Aves; Gruiformes; Gruidae
Exons: 3
Source: RefSeq, a predicted model, not a curated record